UACAGAGGUCUCAAGCGUUGUUCGGAUUCAUUGGGCGUAAAGGGUGUGUAGGUGGCGCGCUAAGUCGGGUGUGAAAUUUCGGAGCUUAACUCCGAAACUGCAUUCGAUACUGCCGUGCUUGAGGACUGGAGAGGAGACUGGAAUUUACGGUGUAGCGGUGAAAUGCGUAGAUAUCAGGAGGAACACCAGUGGCGAAGGCGGUGCUCUGGGCCGGAACUGACGCUGAGGAGCGAAAGCGUGGGGAGCAAACAGG
RNAcentral lists this ribosomal RNA (253 nucleotides) under uncultured prokaryote. RNAcentral's name for it is "partial 16S ribosomal RNA". It matches the Rfam family "Bacterial small subunit ribosomal RNA", at positions 524 to 776 of the family's 1533-position model. The record is from RNAcentral.